RNAcentral lists this non-coding RNA (89 nucleotides) under Pseudomonas donghuensis. The record is from RNAcentral. Lineage: Bacteria; Pseudomonadati; Pseudomonadota; Gammaproteobacteria; Pseudomonadales; Pseudomonadaceae. RNAcentral also lists the same sequence under 1 other name.
CUUUAUGGUGGCUGUGCGCGGGAGGGCUUCGGCCCUGCCGGGUUUCCCUUUUGGCUCGGUUCGCCAAUCCGCGUACAGCCGCCACCCCU